RNAcentral lists this ribosomal RNA (455 nucleotides) under uncultured Porphyromonadaceae bacterium. RNAcentral describes it as "bacterial SSU rRNA". It matches the Rfam family "Bacterial small subunit ribosomal RNA", at positions 341 to 792 of the family's 1533-position model. Lineage: Bacteria; Pseudomonadati; Bacteroidota; Bacteroidia; Bacteroidales; Porphyromonadaceae. The record is from RNAcentral.
ACGGGAGGCAGCAGUAAGGGAUAUUGGGCAAUGGGGGGAACCCUGACCCAGCCAUGCCGCGUGAGGGAAUGAGGCCCUACGGGUCGUGAACCUCUUUUGCCUGGGGAUAACCCCUCCCGCGCGACGGGGGGCUGCAGGUACCAGGCGAAUAAGCAUCGGCUAACUCCGUGCCAGCAGCCGCGGUAAUACGGAGGAUGCGAGCGUUAUCCGGAUUCAUUGGGUUUAAAGGGUGCGCAGGCGGGAUGUCAAGUCAGUGGUGAAAUGGUGCGGCUCAACCGUAGCAUUGCCGUUGAAACUGGCGUCCUUGAGUGCGAAUGAGGUACGCGGAACGUGUCAUGUAGCGGUGAAAUGCAUAGAUAUGACACAGAACACCGAUUGCGAAGGCAGCGUACUGGGACGCGACUGACGCUGAGGCACGAAAGUGCGGGGAUCGAACAGGAUUAGAUACCCUGGUA